Molecule: long non-coding RNA, 848 nt
Filed under: Sus scrofa (pig)
Lineage: Eukaryota; Metazoa; Chordata; Mammalia; Artiodactyla; Suidae
Description: lncRNA (ENSSSCG00015008901.1)
Source: RNAcentral
AGCACAGUGAGGUCAGCACCCAAGUUCCCCCAGACACUCCUUUGCAAAGGCAGAGGGGUCCCAGGCCUGCCUGUGCAGAGGGCUGCCCCAGAGGCUGAAACCCAGUGAUUAAGAACCCCUGCUGGACCUGAAUAAAUACAAUGCCUUACAUACCAGAUGGACAAUGUGGAUGCUGUUUUUCAUCUGCUGACAGUUAUCGCCGGGUUUUCCGGACGUGGACUGUCAGCCCGUGACUAAAGAAUAACCGGGGCGGGCCCGAGGGCGCGGCGAAGCCCUUGAGGUCUCUCAGGGUGAGCGCCCCUGGGUGGAGUUCCGAGGGGCCCGGGCGUAGGCGGCCGUCACCGCCGCGGCGAGCCGCGGAAUGUCCUGCCUGUGAGCUCCCUCGCCUGGACGCGAUGGAAGCCUGGCGGGGACCGGGGACCGCGCCGUCUUCCUGCCCGGGGGCGGGUGGGCGUAGUACCCGGCGCCGCGAUGGCGGUGGCGCUGUCGGGUCGCGCUCUCAACCCGCCCCGGGCUCCGGCGGGGUGGCGCCAGGCUGGAGGCCGUGGGAUUCCCGGACACCCUCCCCUUCCACAGUGGCUGGAGGAUUGAAGCCGAGACAGUGGCGAGAGGGGCGCACAGCCCAGCCCAUUCCCCAUCCCUGACGACUCCAGGACGAUCCCCUUCCCGGCUCCUUAUUCAUUCCCUGAGAUGCUCAAAGACCUGAUUUCCACUUUAACAUCCAAAUUUGGUGGGUUCUAGGAGGCCUGGGCUGGCUCAGUCCAGGGGCUGUUGACUCCUAUAACAACAGUAUCUGGCACACAGUAGGUAUGUGUGCAUCUGUUGAAUAAAUAAAAUAUUUGAACUGU